GACGAGUAUCACUAACGUUAUUCGGAAUUACUGGGCUUAAAGGGUGCGUAGGCGGUGCGGAAAGUUGGGUGUGAAAUCCCUCGGCUCAACCGAGGAACUGCGCCCAAAACUACCGUACUUGAGGAAGAUAGAGGUGAGCGGAACUUACGGUGGAGCGGUGAAAUGCGUUGAUAUCGUAAGGAACACCCGUGGCGAAAGCGGCUCACUGGGUCUUAUCUGACGCUGAUGCACGAAAGCGAGGGGAGCAAACAGG
This 253-nucleotide ribosomal RNA is filed under the name uncultured bacterium. RNAcentral describes it as "partial 16S ribosomal RNA". It matches the Rfam family "Bacterial small subunit ribosomal RNA", at positions 524 to 776 of the family's 1533-position model. The record is from RNAcentral.